CGCAUCUGUGCAUGCAGCCUAUCAAUAAGCGGAGGAAAAGAAACUAACAAGGAUUCCCCUAGUAACGGCGAGUGAAGCGGGAAGAGCUCAAAUUUGAAAUCUUAAAGGGUUUCCCUUUACGAAUUGUAGUUUAAAGAAGUGUUUUCUGUUGAGGUUUUGGUAAAAGUUCUUUGGAAUAGGACAUCAUAGAGGGUGAGAAUCCCGUAUUUGACCUUUACUUUCAACUUUGUGAUACACUUUCAAAGAGUCGGAUUGUUUGGGAAUGCAGUCCAAAAUGGGUGGUAAAUUUCAUCUAGAAGCUAAAUAUUGGCGAGAGACCGAUAGCGAACAAGUACCGUGAGGGAAAAGAUGAAAAGAACUUUGAAAAGAGAGUUAAACAGUACGUGAAAUUGUCAAAAGGGAAGCGUUUGACACCAGUGUUGUUUUUCUGAAAAUCAAUUAAAGAACUGUUUAUGCUAAGCUGUUUAGACUUUAUCAGCUAACUGUUUAGUUUUGAGCUUUUCUUUAAUGCACUUUUCAGUUAACAAGUCAACAUCAAUUUCUUUUGCUGUAAAAAAGCUUGAGGAAGGUGGCUUGAGAUUCGUCUUAAGUGUUUAUAGCCUCUUGCCUAUGCAGUCGGAGAGAUUGAGGUCUGCAGCGUAGAUCCUUCGGGCUAAAUGCAUUUGUGCUAAGUUAUAGCAUUUUAUAGACAACUUGUUGACUAUGAUUUGUCUUGUAGCUUACUCGCUUAUGUUAUUUUACCUACGCUUAGGAUGUUGAAUCUGUGCGAGACUAC
Molecule: ribosomal RNA, 775 nt
Filed under: uncultured Neocallimastigales
Lineage: Eukaryota; Fungi; Neocallimastigomycota; Neocallimastigomycetes; Neocallimastigales
Description: partial large subunit ribosomal RNA
Rfam family: Eukaryotic large subunit ribosomal RNA
Source: RNAcentral